This 421-nucleotide ribosomal RNA is filed under the name uncultured eukaryote. Its description in RNAcentral is "SSU rRNA". It matches the Rfam family "Eukaryotic small subunit ribosomal RNA", at positions 592 to 1018 of the family's 1831-position model. The record is from RNAcentral.
CAAUAGCGUAUAUUAAAGUUGUUGCGGUUAAAAAGCUCGUAGUUGGAUUUCUGUUGAAGACGGUCGGUCCGCUCUAUGAGCGUGUAUCUGAUUCGGCUUUGGCAUCCUCGUGGGGAACGUAACUGUGCUUGAUUGCAUGGUGCGGUAUUCACGACUUUUACUUUGAGGAAAUUAGAGUGUUCACGGCAAGCUAUCGCUUUGAAUACAUUAGCAUGGAAUAAUAAUAUAGGGCGUAAGUUCUAUUUUGUUGGUUUCUAGGACAUACGCAAUGAUUAAUAGGGAUAAUUGGGGGCACUCGUAUUAACACGUCAGAGGUGGAAUUCUUAGAUUGUGUUACGACGAACUACUGCGAAAGCAUUUGCCAAGGAUGUUUUCAUUGAUCAAGAACGAAAGUAUGGGAUCGAAGACGAUUAGAUACCAU